UGAAAUCCAGAAAAGAAACUCAGCCAGGAAAAGGAUCUUGAGGUUGAAAUCCAGAAAAAGAAACUCAGCCAGGAAAAGGAUCUUGAGGUUGAAAUCCAGAAAAAGAAACUCAGCCAGGAAGCAGAAGUUCAGUUGAAGAAGACACGGAGGGAACUUGAAAAGGUACA
Polypterus senegalus (gray bichir) is the source of this 167-nucleotide long non-coding RNA. RefSeq lists it as uncharacterized. Lineage: Eukaryota; Metazoa; Chordata; Cladistia; Polypteriformes; Polypteridae. The transcript has 4 exons. The record is from RefSeq and is a predicted model, not a curated record.